CAUGGCCAGGAUGAAGGUGCGGUAACACGCACUGGAGGUCCGAACCCACUAAUUUGAAAAAUUAGGGGAUGAGCUGUGGAUAGGGGUGAAAGGCUAAACAAAACUUGGAAAUAGCUGGUUCUCUCCGAAAACUAUUUAGGUAGUGCCUCAAGUAUCACCGACGGGGGUAAAGCACUGUUAUGGCUAGGGGGUCAUCGCGACUUACCAAACCAUUGCAAACUCAGAAUACCGUUGAGUGCGAGCUUGGGAGACAGACAUCGGGUGCUAACGUCCGGUGUCAAGAGGGAAACAACCCAGACCGCCGAUUAAGGUCCCAAAGACAUAGUUAAGUGGGAAACGAGGUGGGAAGGCUUAGACAGCCAGGAGGUUGGCUUAGAAGCAGCCAUCCUUUAAAGAAAGCGUAAUAGCUCACUGGUCGAGUCGUCCUGCGCGGAAGAUGUAACGGGG
RNAcentral lists this ribosomal RNA (447 nucleotides) under uncultured bacterium. Its description in RNAcentral is "bacterial LSU rRNA". It matches the Rfam family "Bacterial large subunit ribosomal RNA", at positions 735 to 1180 of the family's 2925-position model. The record is from RNAcentral.